Molecule: non-coding RNA, 48 nt
Filed under: Schistosoma mattheei
Lineage: Eukaryota; Metazoa; Platyhelminthes; Trematoda; Strigeidida; Schistosomatidae
Source: RNAcentral
AUCUAGAUGACGAGUCCCAAAUAGGGUGAAACUCAUGUCAAACUGGAU